AGCAGCCGCGGUAAUUCCAGCUACAAUAGCGUAUAUUAAAGUUGUUGCAGUUAAAAAGCUCGUAGUUGAAUUUCGGGGUUAGUAGGUUGGUCAUGCCUCUGGUAUGUACUGGUCUCACUGAUUCCUCCUUCCUGAUGAACCUUAAUCCCAUUAAUUUGGUGUUUUGGGGAAUUUGGACUGUUACUUUGAAAAAUUAGAGUGUUUAAAGCAAGCUAACGCUUGAAUACAUUAGCAUGGAAUAAUGAAAUAGGACGUUCGAUCCUAUCUUGUUGGUUUCUAGGAUUGACGUAAUGAUUAAUAGGGAUAGUUGGGGGCAUUAGUAUUCAAUUGUCAGAGGUGAAAUUCUUGGAUUUAUUGAAGACUAACUACUGCGAAAGCAUUUUUGCCAAGGAUGUUUUCAUUAAUCAAGAACGAAAGUUAGGGGAUCGAAGACGAUCAGAUACCGUCGUAGUCUUAACCAUAAACUAUGCCGAACUAGGGAUCGGAUGAUGUUAAUUUUUAAUG
This 504-nucleotide ribosomal RNA is filed under the name uncultured Glomus. Its description in RNAcentral is "SSU rRNA". It matches the Rfam family "Eukaryotic small subunit ribosomal RNA", at positions 569 to 1075 of the family's 1831-position model. Lineage: Eukaryota; Fungi; Glomeromycota; Glomeromycetes; Glomerales; Glomeraceae. The record is from RNAcentral.